UNGGAAUCACUGGGCGUAAAGGACGCGUAGGCGGAUUAUCAAGUNUCUUGUGAAAUCUAACGGCUUAACCGUUAAACUGCUUGAGAAACUGAUAAUCUAGAGUAAGGGAGAGGCAGAUGGAAUUCUUGGUGUAGGGGUAAAAUCCGUAGAGAUCAAGAAGAAUACCCAUUGCGAAAGCGAUCUGCUGGAACUUAACUGACGCUAAUGCGUGAAAGCGUGGGGAGCAAACAGGAUUAGAUACCCUGGUAGUCCACGCCCUAAACGAUGUAUACUAGUUGUUGCUUCGCUAGUCGAGGCAGUAAUGCACCUAACGGAUUAAGUAUACCGCCUGGGGAGUACGGUCGCAAGAUUAAAACUCAAAGGAAUAGACGGGGACCCGCACAAGCGGUGGAGCAUGUGGUUUAAUUCGAAGAUACGCGAAGAACCUUACCCGGACUUGAUAUCUAACAAAUCAUCCAGAGAUGGAAGAGUGUCUGCUUGCAGAAAUGUUAAGACAGGUGCUGCACGGCUGUCGUCAGCUCGUGUCGUGAGAUGUUGGGUUAAGUCCCGCAACGAGCGCAACCCACGUCAUUAGUUGCUAACGGUUCGGCCGAGCACUCUAAUGAGACUGCCUUCGCAAGGAGGAGGAAGGUGUGGACGACGUCAAGUCAUCAUGGCCCUUAUGUCCGGGGCGACACACGUGCUACAAUGGCGUAUACAAUGAGACGCAAUAUCGCGAGAUGGAGCAAAUCUAUAAAAUACGUCCCAGUUCGGAUUGGAGUCUGCAACUCGACUCCAUGAAGCCGGAAUCGCUAGUAAUCGUAGAUCAGCCAUGCUACGGUGAAUACGUUCCCGGGUCUUGUACUCACCGCCCGUCACACCAUGGGAGUUGACUUCACUNGAAG
Molecule: ribosomal RNA, 884 nt
Filed under: uncultured bacterium
Lineage: Bacteria
Description: bacterial SSU rRNA
Rfam family: Bacterial small subunit ribosomal RNA
Source: RNAcentral